RNAcentral lists this ribosomal RNA (500 nucleotides) under Triatoma delpontei. RNAcentral's name for it is "eukaryotic LSU rRNA". It matches the Rfam family "Eukaryotic large subunit ribosomal RNA", at positions 444 to 722 of the family's 3401-position model. The record is from RNAcentral. Lineage: Eukaryota; Metazoa; Arthropoda; Insecta; Hemiptera; Reduviidae.
UUUUAAAUGAUUUGAGAUGGCCUCUCGCCCUAUUCAGUGUAACAGCUGUGGUAGUGGGUUUGGUCGCUCGCAUUUAAAUUGGAAGGGUAAUGGUGGACCGCACUUCUCCCUUAGUAGGACGUUGCGACCUGUCAAAUAAUAUCCUAAGUAUUUGGCUAAUUUGUCUGUUUUUAGGCAGUACUGAAAGGUAUUUCCUUUAACAGUUUUAGCCGUUUAGAUACUGGAUAUAAUUGACAGUAACGAAUCAUGGUGUUGAGCCACUUACUUUGUAAGUGUCCUUUAUGGCUGUUUGCAAGUGGGUUGGUUAAUUAGUUUUAGUCGGAUUUCGGUCCGUCUAACUAUUCCGCCUACUGUUGGUAAACUGUUCCUUGGACAGUGCUUAUAACACCGGUCGGCAGCGAUUCAGGUUCAGGCUCUUAUCCGACCCGUCUUGAAACACGGACCAAGGAGUUUAGCGUGUACGCAAGUCAUUGGGUGUAUAAAACCCAAAGGCGCAAUGA